RNAcentral lists this ribosomal RNA (446 nucleotides) under uncultured bacterium. Its description in RNAcentral is "SSU rRNA". It matches the Rfam family "Bacterial small subunit ribosomal RNA", at positions 26 to 518 of the family's 1533-position model. The record is from RNAcentral.
AGAGCGAACGCUGGCGGCAGGCCUAACACAUGCAAGUCGAGCGCCCGUAGCAAUACGGGAGCGGCAGACGGGAGAGUAACACGUGGGAACGUACCCUUCAGUUCGGAACAACCAAGGGAAACUUUGGCUAAUACCGAAUACGUCCGUAAGGAGAAAGAUUUAUCGCUGAAGGAUCGGCCCGCGUCUGAUUAGCUAGUUGGUGAGGUAACGGCUCACCAAGGCGACGAUCAGUAGCUGGUCUGAGAGGAUGAUCAGCCUCAUUGGGACUGAGACACGGCCCAAACUCCUACGGGAGGCAGCAGUGGGGAAUAUUGGACAAUGGGCGCAAGCCUGAUCCAGCCAUGCCGCGUGGAUGAUGAAGGCCCUAGGGUUGUAAAGUCCUUUCGACGGGGAAGAUAAUGACGGUACCGUAGAAGAAGCCCGGCUAACUUCGUGCCAGCAGCCGC